This 76-nucleotide non-coding RNA is filed under the name Methyloglobulus morosus KoM1. Its description in RNAcentral is "Methylococcaceae bacterium KoM1 c-di-GMP-I riboswitch aptamer". It matches the Rfam family "c-di-GMP-I riboswitch aptamer". Rfam says of the family: GEMM was predicted in a large-scale screen for bacterial structured RNA regulatory elements. The record is from Rfam by way of RNAcentral. RNAcentral also lists the same sequence under 1 other name. Lineage: Bacteria; Pseudomonadati; Pseudomonadota; Gammaproteobacteria; Methylococcales; Methylococcaceae.
AAUAAACAAGGCUAAACCUAUCGUAAGGUAGGGGCGGAAAGUCGCGGAUCCAAGAAUGGAAAGCCGGACUGCCAAC